RNAcentral lists this ribosomal RNA (1530 nucleotides) under Salmonella enterica subsp. enterica. RNAcentral describes it as "bacterial SSU rRNA". It matches the Rfam family "Bacterial small subunit ribosomal RNA". The record is from RNAcentral. Lineage: Bacteria; Pseudomonadati; Pseudomonadota; Gammaproteobacteria; Enterobacterales; Enterobacteriaceae.
AGAGUUUGAUCAUGGCUCAGAUUGAACGCUGGCGGCAGGCCUAACACAUGCAAGUCGAACGGUAACAGGAAGCAGCUUGCUGCUUUGCUGACGAGUGGCGGACGGGUGAGUAAUGUCUGGGAAACUGCCUGAUGGAGGGGGAUAACUACUGGAAACGGUGGCUAAUACCGCAUAAUGUCGCAAGACCAAAGAGGGGGACCUUCGGGCCUCUUGCCAUCAGAUGUGCCCAGAUGGGAUUAGCUGGUUGGUGAGGUAACGGCUCACCAAGGCGACGAUCCCUAGCUGGUCUGAGAGGAUGACCAGCCACACUGGAACUGAGACACGGUCCAGACUCCUACGGGAGGCAGCAGUGGGGAAUAUUGCACAAUGGGCGCAAGCCUGAUGCAGCCAUGCCGCGUGUAUGAAGAAGGCCUUCGGGUUGUAAAGUACUUUCAGCGGGGAGGAAGGUGUUGUGGUUAAUAACCGCAGCAAUUGACGUUACCCGCAGAAGAAGCACCGGCUAACUCCGUGCCAGCAGCCGCGGUAAUACGGAGGGUGCAAGCGUUAAUCGGAAUUACUGGGCGUAAAGCGCACGCAGGCGGUCUGUCAAGUCGGAUGUGAAAUCCCCGGGCUCAACCUGGGAACUGCAUUCGAAACUGGCAGGCUUGAGUCUUGUAGAGGGGGGUAGAAUUCCAGGUGUAGCGGUGAAAUGCGUAGAGAUCUGGAGGAAUACCGGUGGCGAAGGCGGCCCCCUGGACAAAGACUGACGCUCAGGUGCGAAAGCGUGGGGAGCAAACAGGAUUAGAUACCCUGGUAGUCCACGCCGUAAACGAUGUCUACUUGGAGGUUGUGCCCUUGAGGCGUGGCUUCCGGAGCUAACGCGUUAAGUAGACCGCCUGGGGAGUACGGCCGCAAGGUUAAAACUCAAAUGAAUUGACGGGGGCCCGCACAAGCGGUGGAGCAUGUGGUUUAAUUCGAUGCAACGCGAAGAACCUUACCUGGUCUUGACAUCCACGGAAGUUUUCAGAGAUGAGAAUGUGCCUUCGGGAACCGUGAGACAGGUGCUGCAUGGCUGUCGUCAGCUCGUGUUGUGAAAUGUUGGGUUAAGUCCCGCAACGAGCGCAACCCUUAUCCUUUGUUGCCAGCGAUUAGGUCGGGAACUCAAAGGAGACUGCCAGUGAUAAACUGGAGGAAGGUGGGGAUGACGUCAAGUCAUCAUGGCCCUUACGACCAGGGCUACACACGUGCUACAAUGGCGCAUACAAAGAGAAGCGACCUCGCGAGAGCAAGCGGACCUCAUAAAGUGCGUCGUAGUCCGGAUUGGAGUCUGCAACUCGACUCCAUGAAGUCGGAAUCGCUAGUAAUCGUGGAUCAGAAUGCCACGGUGAAUACGUUCCCGGGCCUUGUACACACCGCCCGUCACACCAUGGGAGUGGGUUGCAAAAGAAGUAGGUAGCUUAACCUUCGGGAGGGCGCUUACCACUUUGUGAUUCAUGACUGGGGUGAAGUCGUAACAAGGUAACCGUAGGGGAACCUGCGGUUGGAUCACCU